Molecule: ribosomal RNA, 440 nt
Filed under: uncultured bacterium
Lineage: Bacteria
Description: partial 16S ribosomal RNA
Rfam family: Bacterial small subunit ribosomal RNA
Source: RNAcentral
CCUACGGGUGGCAGCAGUAGGGAAUUUUGCGCAAUGGGCGAAAGCCUGACGCAGCAACGCCGCGUGAUCGAGACGCCCUUCGGGGUGUAAAGAUCUGUCAGUGGGGACGAAACUUGACGGUACCCACAGUGGAAGCACCGGCUAACUCCGUGCCAGCAGCCGCGGUAAUACGGGGGGUGCAAGCGUUGUCCGGAAUCAGUGGGCGUAAAGAGUUCGUAGGCGGGACGUAAAGUCUGGUGUUAAAGGCAGAGGCUCAACUUCUGUACGGCACUGGAUACUUGCGAGCUAGAAUGCGGUAGAGGUAAAGGGAAUUCCUGGUGUAGCGGUGAAAUGCUUAGAUAUCACGAAGAACUCCGAUUGCGAAGGCAGCCUGCUGGACUGUAACUGACGCUGAUGCUCGAAAGUGUGGGUAUCAAACAGGAUUAGAUACCCUAGUAGUC